UUUCCGUAGGUGAACAUGCGGAAGGAUCAUUG
RNAcentral lists this ribosomal RNA (32 nucleotides) under Aponogeton crispus x Aponogeton rigidifolius. RNAcentral's name for it is "partial 18S ribosomal RNA". The record is from RNAcentral. Lineage: Eukaryota; Viridiplantae; Streptophyta; Magnoliopsida; Alismatales; Aponogetonaceae.